This 29-nucleotide small RNA is filed under the name Bombyx mori (domestic silkworm). RNAcentral's name for it is "piRNA piR-bmo-2234518". Lineage: Eukaryota; Metazoa; Arthropoda; Insecta; Lepidoptera; Bombycidae. The record is from RNAcentral.
UCUUGUUGGAAAACCCAGUGCCUGUUAUU